Molecule: RNA transcript, 1665 nt
Organism: Puntigrus tetrazona (Sumatra barb)
Lineage: Eukaryota; Metazoa; Chordata; Actinopteri; Cypriniformes; Cyprinidae
Gene: rraga
Gene name: Ras-related GTP binding A
Exons: 11
Source: RefSeq, a predicted model, not a curated record
GUUUUUUCACGUAUGUUUUCUUCCCGCGAGUCACGUGACGCCAGUUGCGCGAGUCAUCGCGAGACAAUCACGUGCUUUUUGUCGCCAUACGUGAACUGUGACAAAAACAUCGAUGGGGAGUUUAAUCGGGUGUUGAGGAUCGGCGGAGUACAGUGAUUUACCGUGGUACCGUGACGUUGAGCAGGGAAAUGUCCAGCACAGCCAUGAAGAAGAAGGUGCUGUUGAUGGGGAAAAGUGGAUCAGGAAAGACCAGUAUGAGAUCCAUCAUAUUUGCCAAUUACAUCGCCAGGGACACCCGCCGCCUCGGGGCCACAAUCGACGUGGAGCACUCUCACGUACGGUUUCUGGGGAACCUGGUGCUGAAUCUGUGGGACUGCGGCGGGCAGGACACGUUCAUGGAGAACUACUUCACGAGUCAGAGAGACAACAUCUUUCGCAAUGUGGAGGUGCUGAUCUACGUGUUUGAUGUGGAGAGCCGAGAGCUGGAGAAGGACAUGCAUUACUACCAGUCCUGUCUCGAGGCCAUUCUCCAGAACUCUCCUGACGCCAAGAUCUUCUGCCUGGUGCACAAGAUGGACCUGGUGCAGGAGGACCAGAGAGACCUGAUAUUUAAAGAGCGUGAGGAGGAUCUGAAAAGGCUUUCUCGGCCACUGGCCUGCACCUGCUUCAGAACCUCCAUCUGGGACGAGACGCUGUAUAAAGCCUGGUCCAGCAUCGUCUAUCAGCUCAUUCCUAACGUACAGCAGCUGGAGUGCAACCUGCGCAACUUUGCUCAGAUCAUUGAGGCAGACGAAGUCUUACUGUUCGAAAGAGCUACUUUUCUGGUGAUCUCUCACUAUCAGUGUAAGGAGCAGCGUGACGCUCACCGCUUCGAGAAGAUCAGUAACAUCAUCAAGCAGUUCAAGCUGAGCUGCAGUAAGCUGGCUGCCUCUUUCCAGAGCAUGGAAGUGCGUAACUCGAACUUCGCUGCCUUCAUCGACGUCUUCACCUCCAACACCUACGUCAUGGUGAUCAUGUCUGACCCGUCCAUACCGUCCGCCGCCACCCUCAUCAACAUCAGGAACGCCAGGAGACAUUUUGAGAAGCUGGAGCGCGUGGACGGGCCCAAGCACAGUCUGCACAUGCGCAUGCGUUAGAGCCGCCGGACACAGCGUGAGUCCACACCCGACCUCACCUCCUGGGAAAAAGCAUCUUAAAACUUCACAGUCUUACUGAGUCACUUACAAUCAUCUGAGAGCACUACAUGAAACAAGUUAGAGACAGUGUGAAAGGAUUUAGUUUGUGGGUGUUCCUGUCUCACGGAUCUCUCGUUCACAGGACGGCGGCUGAUCCAGAAGGUUUCCUCCUGUCCUGCUGACUUCGCUUGCAUCCAGUGUUUCUGCUGAGAAACCAAGUCACCUUCUGUUAACAUGUCUGAUGUUGCAAAGGAACCGUAGUUCUUACUCAUAAACCCCGGCUCGAGGGUUGAAGAUGGCCGCUUCCUAUCUGAUCUGGCGUACGCUGAGUCAUUCUUUCUCUGUGUGUCUUUUAUUCGAAGCGUUAUCAGCUUGCUUUACUGAAAUCAGAGCAGAAAUCUGUCACUAAAACUGGUCUUUCUGAGUUAACAACUUGAUCUGCAAAUUAUUGUAUUAUAAUUAUUCCCAAUAAAUGCAUAUUGUUCUUUGA